This is a long non-coding RNA of Bos taurus (domestic cattle), 842 nucleotides long. The record is from Ensembl. NCBI's taxonomy places the organism in Eukaryota, Metazoa, Chordata, Mammalia, Artiodactyla, Bovidae.
AAAUAAAUCCACUUCUUACCUAUCUCUUUGCCUCUGAAUUCCUUCUGCUCUGAGAUGUUAAAACUUGAGCUUCGAAUUCUGUGCAGCUGGUGUUAUUGCCUGAUUUUAUAUUUGUGUGGACACUGAGGCCCAGAGCCGUGUGAUGACUUCCCAAGCUGUGUAAGUGGCAAAACUACCUUUCAAAGAGGUGUUUCCAUGCGGUGACCUUAAGAGUCCCAUUGUUUCCUGUGAAUGAUGGGCCCUGGCUGCCUUCCACCCAUAUUUCCAGGCCUUUAGAGUGAGACUGGUCAUGGGCCUCCUUCUGUCCAAUGGCUGUGAAGAGAGCCGGAACAACCCCUUCCUUAGUGUUCAAACUUGGAGUGAGUCUAAUCAAACCUCCAUGCUGUCUGUUGGCCAAGAGGAGGACACAGGACACACGGCAGGCCCGCUUGUGCCCCUCCUGGGGCUGUGAAUCACAUGAAGACUGAGGUGAAGAAGAAACAGCUGUUGUGGCCGAUGCAACCCAAAGGGGAACUUAGGGAAAAAUGACUUCAGUUCCUGCUCCCGAACUCCUAGUCUGCCCCAGCCCCUAUCCUUUCCUGGGUCUGACAACAAGCCUGGCCUUUGAUUCUGGGAGCUAUCUGAUACUGUCUUCAUAAUCCCUGCUUCUGGUUGAGUGAGGCUAAAUGGUUUCUGUUGCUUCCUACCAACACACCCUAACUCAUACCCAGCCCCUCUCAAAGGCUGGUAUGAAUGGCCUGGGUUCACACCAGCUUUCCCCUGAGCACCUAGCUGGUGCAGGCUGUGGAGGCAGGCCUUGCCUGUCCCCAGUCCUCAGCUCCUUCCUCCCCUCUGUCAGAGCC